RNAcentral lists this ribosomal RNA (686 nucleotides) under uncultured fungus. RNAcentral's name for it is "eukaryotic LSU rRNA". It matches the Rfam family "Eukaryotic large subunit ribosomal RNA", at positions 93 to 769 of the family's 3401-position model. Lineage: Eukaryota; Fungi. The record is from RNAcentral.
GUGAAGAGGGAAGAGCUCAAAUUUAGAACCUGGCAGUCAUCAGGCUGUCCGAGUUGUAAAUUAGAGAAGCGUUAUCCGCACUGGCCUGCGCAUAAGUCUCUUGGAAUAGGGCAUCAUAGAGGGUGACAAUCCCGUCUUUGGCACAGAUCACCAGAGCGUUUGUGAUGCGCUUUCAAUGAGUCGAGUUGUUUGGGAAUGCAGCUCUAAAAGGGUGGUAAAUUCCAUCUAAAGCUAAAUAUUGGCGAGAGACCGAUAGCGAACAAGUACCGUGAGGGAAAGAUGAAAAGAACUUUGAAAAGAGAGUUAAACAGUACGUGAAAUUGUUGAAAGGGAAACGCUUGAAGUCAGUCGCAUCCUUCAGAAAUCAACCUGACUGACUUAGGUCUGGUGCACUUUCUGUUUGGAUGGGUCAGCAUCAAUUUUGACCAUUGGAAAAAGGCCAAGGGAAUGUGGCAUCUCCGGAUGUGUUAUAGCCCUCGGUUCAGAUGCAGUGGUCAGGAUUGAGGACGGCAGCGCUUUGCACCUAGUGGAUGGCGCUCAGGAUGCUGGCAUAAUGGCUUUAAUCGACCCGUCUUGAAACACGGACCAAGGAGUCUAACAUACAUGCGAGUGUUUGAGUGGAAAACUCAUGCGCGCGAUGAAAGUGAAAGUUGAGAACCCUGUCGUGGGGUGCAUCGACGCCCGGA